CACAAUCUGCAAGGUAAAGAUAUAAGCAACAGUUUCCCAAAAGCAGAAUAACUCCAUAAGAUUUAAAUGCCUUGACAAGUCAUGAAUUAAUAAACAGCACUUUGAGUCUUCACCUUGGAUUCUGUUCUUGCAAAGAUCCUAAUAAUUGUUAUAAUUGUUUAACACCAUUUAUUUUAAAUGUGUAAUGUGCAAUAGUACUAGGAAAUCGUCAUCGCAUACAGACCGCUCUAAUACAAGUCAAACAUGAGCCAUGUGAAGCUCAUUAAUCAUUUUCACAUCUAAUUCUAUCUCAACAGCACUACGUCAACUUCCAUACAACCUUAAAAUACAGAAGCAUACGGGUCUGAUGCAAAUUUCAGACAGAACAAUUCAUGUUAGCCGAUAAGAGGCAGAAGAGCUACAUAUGACAUUUCAAUGAUCUCCAAAGAUCACAGCACACAAGCGAGGCUACUAAUGUUGCAUAAAUCCAAGGAAGCUGCGAUUUAUAUUCAAGUGCAAAUAAGUGUUAAAUUCAACAUAAACUAGGGCUUAAUAAUCAAGACAAGUUUCAGAGUGAACAAUAAUCCUAUGAACCAAUCAUAAUUUCCCCAAACACAAGAAAUAGUUCAUACUAUUUUGCAAUAUCAUAACUGACUAUGAAAUCACGGCACCAAAACAUAAACUUCUAGCCUAUCAAGGUACAUCUGCAUUAAUAACCAUUCUACACGUACACAUGGAUUUGUAUUCAAAGAUGUAUGCAUCUAUAGCAUGGUUUGUCAGCUUGGCUGAUCUAAGCUGCAAUUGGGAUAGGACAUGCCUGGCCGAAAACAAGUAUUUUUUAUUUUUUAGCCAAAAUCGACUGAAGCUGCACAGAAACUAUGAAACUGGAAAGGAUCCAACAUAUUUUGAUUGAUUAAGGUUAAUUUUUGUCAUUUCAAAGAAUCCUGAGCCGAAGAUCAGUUCUGAUCAAUCCAUAUGGAUCUUGGUCCUAUACAUGUACAGUCACUUUUAAACCAGAUUCUGAUGCUAAAUUUUGAUAUAAUAUCAAUACUAUCUAUUACUCCUAUGAACUUGUCAUGCAUAGAGGAAAUUAUUAGUGAUAUUUUCAUAGCAAACUAGAUAUUUCUUAUCUCCAGAAUGCAAAACCAAACAAUUCAAUACAAUGAAAAAAAUACCAACUUUAGAAGCGCAAAAAGUUCAUCAAAACUAAGCAAUCUUAUUUCACAGCUAUAUCAAAUUUAAGGCAAAUUUGAGAAUAUAAAACCAUAAUCCUUCAUCCUUCAUAAUUACACCCGUUCAU
RNAcentral lists this long non-coding RNA (1279 nucleotides) under Musa acuminata (dwarf banana). RNAcentral's name for it is "long non-coding RNA (MACU_LNC000917)". The record is from RNAcentral. Lineage: Eukaryota; Viridiplantae; Streptophyta; Magnoliopsida; Zingiberales; Musaceae.